This 162-nucleotide ribosomal RNA is filed under the name Agrostis canina (velvet bentgrass). RNAcentral's name for it is "5.8S ribosomal RNA". It matches the Rfam family "5.8S ribosomal RNA". From Rfam's summary of the family: 5.8S ribosomal RNA (5.8S rRNA) is a component of the large subunit of the eukaryotic ribosome. It is transcribed by RNA polymerase I as part of the 45S precursor that also contains 18S and 28S rRNA. Lineage: Eukaryota; Viridiplantae; Streptophyta; Magnoliopsida; Poales; Poaceae. The record is from RNAcentral.
ACACGACUCUCGGCAACGGAUAUCUCGGCUCUCGCAUCGAUGAAGAACGUAGCGAAAUGCGAUACCUGGUGUGAAUUGCAGAAUCCCGCGAACCAUCGAGUCUUUGAACGCAAGUUGCGCCCGAGGCCACUUGGCCGAGGGCACGCCUGCCUGGGAGUCACG